AGAGUUUGAUCAUGGCUCAGAACGAACGCUGGCGGCAUGCCUAACACAUGCAAGUCGAACGAGAAAGCGGGGGCAACCCCGUGAGUACAGUGGCGAACGGGUGAGUAACACGUGACUAACCUGCCUUCGAGCGGGGGAUAACCCCGGGAAACCGGGGCUAAUACCGCAUAACAUCGCGAGGUGAAAUUCCUUGUGAUCAAAUGCGCAAGCAGCUUGAAGAGGGGGUCGCGGCUGAUUAGCUAGUUGGUGAGGUAACGGCUCACCAAGGCGAUGAUCAGUAGCCGGCCUGAGAGGGCGCACGGCCACACUGGAACUGAAACACGGUCCAGACUCCUACGGGAGGCAGCAGUGGGGAAUUUUGCGCAAUGGGGGAAACCCUGACGCAGCAACGCCGCGUGGAGGAUGAAGUCCCUUGGGACGUAAACUCCUUUCGACCGGGACGAAUAUUGACGGUACCGGUGGAAGAAGCCCCGGCUAACUUCGUGCCAGCAGCCGCGGUAAUAC
This 504-nucleotide ribosomal RNA is filed under the name uncultured bacterium. RNAcentral's name for it is "bacterial SSU rRNA". It matches the Rfam family "Bacterial small subunit ribosomal RNA", at positions 8 to 526 of the family's 1533-position model. The record is from RNAcentral.